RNAcentral lists this unclassified non-coding RNA (200 nucleotides) under soil metagenome. RNAcentral's name for it is "partial contains internal transcribed spacer 2 and large subunit ribosomal RNA". The record is from RNAcentral.
GUUGAGUGGUUGGAUGUGGGGGUUUGCUGGCCUCUUAGGGGGUUCAGCUCUCCUGAAAUGCAUUAGCAGAACAACCUGUUCAUUGGUGUGAUAACUAUCUACGCUUUUGAAUGUGAAGGGCAGUUCAGCUUUCUAACAGUCCUUGGACAAUUCAUCAUUAAUGUGACCUCAAAUCAGGUAGGACUACCCGCUGAACUUAA